RNAcentral lists this ribosomal RNA (252 nucleotides) under uncultured bacterium. RNAcentral describes it as "partial 16S ribosomal RNA". It matches the Rfam family "Bacterial small subunit ribosomal RNA", at positions 524 to 776 of the family's 1533-position model. The record is from RNAcentral.
UACGGAGGAUGCGAGCGUUAUCCGGAUUUAUUGGGUUUAAAGGGUGCGCAGGCGGAGGUGCAAGUCAGCGGUCAAAUUGCGGGGCUCAACCCCGUACUGCCGUUGAAACUGCAUCCCUUGAGUGCGCGAGAAGUAUGCGGAAUGCGUGGUGUAGCGGUGAAAUGCAUAGAUAUCACGCAGAACUCCGAUUGCGAAGGCAGCAUACCGGCGCGCAACUGACGCUCAUGCACGAAAGCGUGGGUAUCGAACAGG